GGUUAAGCGACUAAGCGUACACGGUGGAUGCCCUGGCAGUCAGAGGCGAUGAAGGACGUGCUAAUCUGCGAAAAGCGUCGGUAAGGUGAUAUGAACCGUUAUAGCCGGCGAUGUCCGAAUGGGGAAACCCAGUGCAAUUCGUUGCACUAUCGUUAACUGAAUACAUAGGUUAACGAGGCGAACCGGGGGAACUGAAACAUCUAAGUACCCCGAGGAAAAGAAAUCAACCGAGAUUCCCCCAGUAGCGGCGAGCGAACGGGGAGCAGCCCAGAGUCUGAAUCAGCUUGUGUGUUAGUGGAACGGUCUGGAAAGUCCGACGGUACAGGGUGAUAGUCCCGUACACCAAAAUGCACAGGCUGUGAACUCGAAGAGUAGGGCGGGACACGUGGUAUCCUGUCUGAAUAUGGGGGGACCAUCCUCCAAGGCUAAAUACUCCUGACUGACCGAUAGUGAACCAGUACCGUGAGGGAAAGGCGAAAAGAACCCCGGCGAGGGGAGUGAAAAAGAACCUGAAACCGUGUACGUACAAGCAGUGGGAGCACCUUCGGGUGUGACUGCGUACCUUUUGUAUAAUGGGUCAGCGACUUAUAUUCUGUAGCAAGGUUAACCGUAUAGGGGAGCCGCAGGGAAACCGAGUCUUAACUGGGCGUUAAGUUGCAGGGUAUAGACCCGAAACCCGGUGAUCUAGCCAUGGGCAGGUUGAAGGUUGGGUAACACUAACUGGAGGACCGAACCGACUAAUGUUGAAAAAUUAGCGGAUGACUUGUGGCUGGGGGUGAAAGGCCAAUCAAACCGGGAGAUAGCUGGUUCUCCCCGAAAGCUAUUUAGGUAGCGCCUCGUGAAUUCAUCUUCGGGGGUAGAGCACUGUUUCGGCUAGGGGGUCAUCCCGACUUACCAACCCGAUGCAAACUACGAAUACCGAAGAAUGUUAUCACGGGAGACACACGGCGGGUGCUAACGUCCGUCGUGAAGAGGGAAACAACCCAGACCGCCAGCUAAGGUCCCAAAGUCAUGGUUAAGUGGGAAACGAUGUGGGAAGGCACAGACAGCCAGGAUGUUGGCUUAGAAGCAGCCAUCAUUUAAAGAAAGCGUAAUAGCUCACUGGUCGAGUCGGCCUGCGCGGAAGAUGUAACGGGGCUAAACCAUGCACCGAAGCUGCGGCAGCGACACUAUGUGUUGUUGGGUAGGGGAGCGUUCUGUAAGCCUGCGAAGGUGACCUGUGAGGGUUGCUGGAGGUAUCAGAAGUGCGAAUGCUGACAUAAGUAACGAUAAAGCGGGUGAAAAGCCCGCUCGCCGGAAGACCAAGGGUUCCUGUCCAACGUUAAUCGGGGCAGGGUGAGUCGACCCCUAAGGCGAGGCCGAAAGGCGUAGUCGAUGGGAAACAGGUUAAUAUUCCUGUACUUGGUGUUACUGCGAAGGGGGGACGGAGAAGGCUAUGUUAGCCGGGCGACGGUUGUCCCGGUUUAAGCAUGUAGGCUGAUUGUCCAGGCAAAUCCGGAUAAUCAAGGCUGAGGUGUGAUGACGAGGCACUACGGUGCUGAAGUAACAAAUGCCCUGCUUCCAGGAAAAGCCUCUAAGCAUCAGGUAACAUCAAAUCGUACCCCAAACCGACACAGGUGGUCAGGUAGAGAAUACCAAGGCGCUUGAGAGAACUCGGGUGAAGGAACUAGGCAAAAUGGUGCCGUAACUUCGGGAGAAGGCACGCUGGUGUGUAGGUGAAGCCCCUGCGGGUGGAGCUGAGACCAGUCGAAGAUACCAGCUGGCUGCAACUGUUUAUUAAAAACACAGCACUGUGCAAACACGAAAGUGGACGUAUACGGUGUGACGCCUGCCCGGUGCCGGAAGGUUAAUUGAUGGGGUUAUCCGUAAGGAGAAGCUCUUGAUCGAAGCCCCGGUAAACGGCGGCCGUAACUAUAACGGUCCUAAGGUAGCGAAAUUCCUUGUCGGGUAAGUUCCGACCUGCACGAAUGGCGUAAUGAUGGCCAGGCUGUCUCCACCCGAGACUCAGUGAAAUUGAACUCGCUGUGAAGAUGCAGUGUACCCGCGGCAAGACGGAAAGACCCCGUGAACCUUUACUAUAGCUUGACACUGAACAUUGAGCCUUGAUGUGUAGGAUAGGUGGGAGGCUUUGAAGCGUGGACGCCAGUCUGCGUGGAGCCAACCUUGAAAUACCACCCUUUAAUGUUUGAUGUUCUAACGUUGGCCCCUUACCGGGGUUGCGGACAGUGUCUGGUGGGUAGUUUGACUGGGGCGGUCUCCUCCCAAAGCGUAACGGAGGAGCACGAAGGUUAGCUAAUCCUGGUCGGACAUCAGGAGGUUAGUGCAAUGGCAUAAGCUAGCUUGACUGCGAGCGUGACGGCGCGAGCAGGUGCGAAAGCAGGUCAUAGUGAUCCGGUGGUUCUGAAUGGAAGGGCCAUCGCUCAACGGAUAAAAGGUACUCCGGGGAUAACAGGCUGAUACCGCCCAAGAGUUCAUAUCGACGGCGGUGUUUGGCACCUCGAUGUCGGCUCAUCACAUCCUGGGGCUGAAGUAGGUCCCAAGGGUAUGGCUGUUCGCCAUUUAAAGUGGUACGCGAGCUGGGUUUAGAACGUCGUGAGACAGUUCGGUCCCUAUCUGCCGUGGGCGCUGGAGAAUUGAGGGGGGCUGCUCCUAGUACGAGAGGACCGGAGUGGACGCAUCACUGGUGUUCGGGUUGUCAUGCCAAUGGCACUGCCCGGUAGCUAAAUGCGGAAGAGAUAAGUGCUGAAAGCAUCUAAGCACGAAACUUGCCCCGAGAUGAGUUCUCCCUGAGACUUUAAGUCUCCUGAAGGAACGUUAAAGACGAUGACGUUGAUAGGCCGGGUGUGUAAGCGCAGCGAUGCGUUGAGCUAACCGGUACUAAUGAACCGUGAGGCUUAACCUU
Molecule: ribosomal RNA, 2902 nt
Filed under: Klebsiella pneumoniae
Lineage: Bacteria; Pseudomonadati; Pseudomonadota; Gammaproteobacteria; Enterobacterales; Enterobacteriaceae
Description: 23S ribosomal RNA
Rfam family: Bacterial large subunit ribosomal RNA
Source: RNAcentral